CAAAGUGCUUACAGUGCAGGUAGUUAAAAGAAAUCUACUGCAGUGAAGGCACUUUCAGC
This 59-nucleotide microRNA precursor is filed under the name Tetraodon nigroviridis (spotted green pufferfish). RNAcentral describes it as "Tni-Mir-17-P1a2_pre stem-loop". It matches the Rfam family "mir-17 microRNA precursor family", at positions 11 to 70 of the family's 80-position model. Rfam says of the family: This family represents the microRNA (miRNA) precursor mir-17, family, which includes mir-20, mir-91, and mir-103. miRNAs are transcribed as ~70nt precursors (modelled here) and subsequently processed by the Dicer enzyme to give a ~22nt product. In this case the mature sequence comes from the 3' arm of the precursor. The extents of the hairpin precursors are not generally known and are estimated based on hairpin prediction. Lineage: Eukaryota; Metazoa; Chordata; Actinopteri; Tetraodontiformes; Tetraodontidae. The record is from RNAcentral.